CCUACGGGUGGCUGCAGUGAGGAAUCUUCCGCAAUGGGCGAAAGCCUGACGGGGCAAUGCCGCGUGGAGGAUGAAGGCCCAAUGGGUCGUAAACUUCUUUAGAUCAGAGACGAAUAGAUGACGGUACCUGAAGAACUAAGCAUCGGCUAAACCCCGUGCCAGCAGCCGCGGUAAGACGGGGGAUGCGAGCGUUAUCCGGAAUGAUUGGGCGUAAAGGGUCCGCAGGUGGCCCGGUCAGUCCGCUGUCAAAACCUGGGGCUCAACCCUGGACAGGC
RNAcentral lists this ribosomal RNA (275 nucleotides) under uncultured bacterium. RNAcentral's name for it is "partial 16S ribosomal RNA". It matches the Rfam family "Bacterial small subunit ribosomal RNA", at positions 338 to 624 of the family's 1533-position model. The record is from RNAcentral.